RNAcentral lists this ribosomal RNA (527 nucleotides) under uncultured Glomeraceae. Its description in RNAcentral is "SSU rRNA". It matches the Rfam family "Eukaryotic small subunit ribosomal RNA", at positions 548 to 1081 of the family's 1831-position model. Lineage: Eukaryota; Fungi; Glomeromycota; Glomeromycetes; Glomerales; Glomeraceae. The record is from RNAcentral.
UUGGAGGGCAAGUCUGGUGCCAGCAGCCGCGGUAAUUCCAGCUCCAAUAGCGUAUAUUAAAGUUGUUGCAGUUAAAAGCUCGUAGUUGAAUUUCGGGGUUAGUAGAUUGGUCAUGCCUCUGGUAUGUACUGGUUUCACUGAUUCCUCCUUCCUGAUGAACCGUAAUGCCAUUUAUUUGGUGUUGCGGGGAAUUUGGACUGUUACUUUGAAAAAUUAGAGUGUUUAAAGCAAGCUAACGCUUGAAUACAUUAGCAUGGAAUAAUGAAAUAGGACGUUCGAUCCUAUUUUGUUGGUUUCUAGGACCGCCGUAAUGAUUAAUAGGGACAGUCGGGGGCAUCAGUAUUCAAUUGUCAGAGGUGAAAUUCUUGGAUUUAUUGAAGACUAACUACUGCGAAAACAUUUGCCAAGGAUGUUUUCAUUAAUCGGGAACGAAAGUUAGGGGAUCGAAGACGAUCAGAUACCGUCGUAGUCUUAACCAUAAACUAUGCCGAUUAGGGAUCGGACGGUGUUAUUUUUUUGACCCGUUU